GAUGAACGCUGGCGGCGUGCCUAACACAUGCAAGUCGAGCGAACAGACGAGGAGCUUGCUCCUCUGACGUUAGCGGCGGACGGGUGAGUAACACGUGGAUAACCUACCUAUAAGACUGGGAUAACUUCGGGAAACCGGAGCUAAUACCGGAUAAUAUAUUGAACCGCAUGGUUCAAUAGUGAAAGACGGUUUUGCUGUCACUUAUAGAUGGAUCCGCGCCGCAUUAGCUAGUUGGUAAGGGAACGGCUUACCAAGGCAACGAUGCGUAGCCGACCUGAGAGGGGGUGCGGCCACACAGGAACUGAGACACGGUCCAGAGUCCUACGGGAGGCAGCGGUGGGGAAGGUUCCGCAAUGGGCGAAAGCCUGACGGGGCAACGCCGCGUGGGUGAGGAAGGUCUUCGGAUCGUAAAACUCUGUUAUUAGGGAAAAACAAAUGUGUAAGUUACUAUGCACGUCUUGACGGUACCGAAUAAGAAGGCCACGCCAAACUACGG
RNAcentral lists this ribosomal RNA (496 nucleotides) under uncultured bacterium. RNAcentral's name for it is "partial 16S ribosomal RNA". It matches the Rfam family "Bacterial small subunit ribosomal RNA", at positions 28 to 506 of the family's 1533-position model. The record is from RNAcentral.